This 431-nucleotide ribosomal RNA is filed under the name uncultured fungus. RNAcentral's name for it is "eukaryotic LSU rRNA". It matches the Rfam family "Eukaryotic large subunit ribosomal RNA", at positions 1 to 432 of the family's 3401-position model. Lineage: Eukaryota; Fungi. The record is from RNAcentral.
GACCUCGGAUCAGGUAGGAAUACCCGCUGAACUUAAGCAUAUCAAUAAGCGGAGGAAAAGAAACCAACGGGGAUUGCCUCAGUAACGGCGAGUGAAGCGGCAAAAGCUCAAAUUUGAAAUCUGACCCUUCGGGUCCGAGUUGUAAUUUGCAGAGGAUGUUUCGGGUAAGAUUUAGGUCUAAGUUCCUUGGAACAGGACGUCAUAGAGGGUGAGAAUCCCGUACGUGACCGUUGAUCGCACCUAUGUGAAACUCCUUCGACGAGUCGAGUUGUUUGGGAAUGCAGCUCAAAAUGGGUGGUAAAUUUCAUCUAAAGCUAAAUAUUGGCCAGAGACCGAUAGCGCACAAGUAGAGUGAUCGAAAGAUGAAAAGCACUUUGAAAAGAGAGUUAAACAGUAUGUGAAAUUGUUGAAAGGGAAGCGCUUGCAACCAG